RNAcentral lists this unclassified non-coding RNA (203 nucleotides) under Hevea brasiliensis (rubber tree). The record is from RNAcentral. Lineage: Eukaryota; Viridiplantae; Streptophyta; Magnoliopsida; Malpighiales; Euphorbiaceae.
UUUCAAUGUGAUUAGACCUUAAUUAAAAGUGGCAAAUAACAAAACCCUUCCUAAUUAUUCCCCAUUAUCACACAACAACAAAACAGAUAAUACAUGAGCUUAAGGUCAGAAGGAUUUGAAGCAAGGCACAAACAUAACUUAUAAAGAAUUUUGAAACUAAACAAAUAACCUCUUUUUCUGUCACUUGGAAAUGCCAUCAGUUU